This 143-nucleotide ribosomal RNA is filed under the name uncultured eukaryote. RNAcentral describes it as "partial 18S ribosomal RNA". It matches the Rfam family "Eukaryotic small subunit ribosomal RNA", at positions 1299 to 1458 of the family's 1831-position model. The record is from RNAcentral.
UGGUGGAGUGAUUUGUCUGCUUAAUUGCGAUAACGAACGAGACCUUGGUCUGCUAACUAGCAACGCAUUUCUUUGUAAAGGCGGCUUGCUUCUUAGAGAGACUGUGUACGCUCCCUAGUACACGGAAGCACGAGGCAAUAACA